Molecule: long non-coding RNA, 8752 nt
Organism: Equus caballus (horse)
Lineage: Eukaryota; Metazoa; Chordata; Mammalia; Perissodactyla; Equidae
Source: Ensembl
UUCUUGCAGUUUGAAUUUAUGGGACUGUCCUAUAGGACUUCCAUGAGUAAAUGGAAUGUAAUAUUUUGUUAGUGGCAGUGCUGCCUUCCUGCAUAAGAGAAAACGGUGGUCCAUGUUUGGGAUGCAAAGAGCAUAGAUUUAAGAUUCAGGCAGACCUCAUUUGAAUCUCAGCUCUGCUGCUCCUCAGCCUUGUGAUUUUCGAUUUGGACAUAUUUUAAACUGAGCUGCAGUUUCUUCAUGUUUAAAAUUGGUAUCAUAAUAAUAAUUCCUGGCUUACAAUUAUAAUUUUUAUGAUUAUGUAGGCAAAGCUUCUAGCACAAUGCCCAGAACAGAAUGGGCACUUCAUAAAUAUUUCUACCCUUCUUCAAUCUGCUUUUUACCAUAGCUCUAAACGAGGAGGAAAAAGUGAGAAAAUCAAUGCAGAUACUUUCUAGAAAAAGUGGCUAGCAUGGAUUCACUUUAUAGGCACAAGCUUUAAGGAAUUAAACCCAAAAUUCAGUGUGCCUGCUUAUUGUCGAAAUUAUGAAUCCAAGGCUAUUUAACCAGAAUUUCAGAUGUUCUAAAAAAAAAAGAUUCAUCUGCAUUUUGUUUCCUAAAAAAUACUUUCCGUGGCUGCCAUAAAAUGUCCAUUCAUUUAUAUUUUAUGUGGGAUUUUAUUCUCAGGUGAUGUCUUGGUGUUUCUAUGACCCAAGUAAGGAGUCCCUGUGACUUUAUCACACUGUUUCUUCCAGACACAGCUGGAAAUAUGAUUGUCUAAGGGUCCGUCCCAAAGGAGCUGGGCCUCUGCUCUGGGUCAGCAGCAACAAGGAGUGUUGCCAAGAUACGAAACAAAACACAAGCACCCUAGGUCUCCCUCUGGGUUUCUGGAGCAGCUGUCUCUAGCUCAGCUGUUGAAAUUUCAGUUCCUUCAUUGAAAUUCCAACACAUCUGUCCCCCAGACAGGAACAUGCUUAAUAAAAUGACUUCCUCCAUGCUGGCUAGUCUUGUGGUUUUAUUCAGCUCUUAAAGACAGUGUGGGGGCUGAGUACCACAAAGAAAGAAGCCUCUCCAGGGAUGGAGGCAAAUCCUAGUGAUGGGUUACUGAGGCAGAAAAGUGCCAGCCAGCGUUGACACCUGGCAGGCACCAUCAGGGUAUUCACAACUUGGUUUGGCCUUGAAACAUCCCAUGAGCCCAGACAAAUUCAGGUCUCAUUUUCGCUUGAUCCUCACGUGGGCAACCUGUUUGCUUUCUCUCUCAUUCUUCCAGCUGUUCCUUGGCAAAAUCCUUUUCAUCUAUUUAAUUUUAGAGCACAACAGAGAAAUGUAUCCCUUUACGCAGAUGUCAGUCAUGUGCCUUUAAAUAUCACUUUUGUAUCAUGACUUUCUGUUUUAGAAAAUAUGGUUUCAAACCAAAAUUUGUUCUUUUUUUAAAGGAGUGGUUGUAGUGUCAAGCCAAACUUAACUCACGUCCUAGGUGGUGGAGGUCAAAAAGAAGUUCUCCCCCAUAAUUUUUUAGGAUUAGAGUGUCCCUGCAGGGGACAGGACAAGAAUCUUCCCAGGAUAAGGGAGACCCAGGUUCUGUGUCUGUAGAAUGGAAUGCCCUAAUAGGGUAGCUCCUCCUUUCCCAGCCUUGUUCCCUAGCAACGCAAACCCCAUGGUGCAGAGUGCCACCGACCCCUAACCUUGAGGUGCCUCUUGGAUGUCAGUGCUCUGGAAUUAUUGCAACAGCCUCUGAUCCUCCUAUAUCCCCUUUUAAAGAAUAAAUAAGCAAAUACAUAAAUAAAUAUAUUUGUUUCUCUCAUUCAUUCAUUAUUUCUAGUAACCAAAUGGCUGUAGUUAACCAUGUCCUGUUCUUUCAGGACUAAACAUGGUUAGCCAUUCAUUUUAAUAUCUAAUUCUGUAUUCUAAAUAGAAUGCUACCUCUAUUCACUUCCUAUCAUAGAUAAUGAUUUCUCUCUUAUAUCCCUUUUUCCUUCCUUCAUCCUUCCAAUUUGUUAUAUUAUGAUUUUCAGUGUUUGCAUUAUUCUAACAAUGGAAUAUUCACUGUUGAGCCAAGGAGCCUGUUAUUAUUAUGUUUCCUUUCUUAUUCAAUUAUUUUUCCUAGAGCUGAUAAUUUGCUCAUUUUUUAAAAAAUGUUUUCUCUGUACAUACUGUUGUCUUCCCAGCCUCUCCCACAGCCAUAAUCUUCAAAGCACUGUUUUUAGCAUAUUAAGUAUAGUAAUGUAUUUAAUUUUCAAAAUAACUCCAUGAGGUAGGUACAUAUGAUCUGCAUCUUAUAGAUGGGAAACCGGAAGCAUAGAGGUUAAUUCACUUGCAUCAAAUCAUAAGUGGCAGAGGCGGGAUUUGAGCCCAGGCAGUCUGGCUCCUGCGUCCGUACUCCCAAGCUCCAGCAAUACAGCGCUUGAUAUAACUUUCUACACAAGCAAAUCUACCAGAACAAAGUCAGUGGAUUUUUUUUAUAGGGCUCUCUCUCUUGUUUAUCCUUGUCCUCUAGUUUCAUCUGAAUUGUUUGUUUUCUACACCAGUGCCCACUUGUCAUAUGAGGACUGACUUUCACUUCUACCCAGGGAAUUUCCUUCAUCUCCCUCCUGUGUUGAUUCCUUGCUUUCUGGAUCCCAUUGCUUCUUUCUUGGUUUACCCUCAUUGCUUUAGGUGGAGCCAUCCUUUAGAAGACUUCCUGAGAAAAGGUGCAGGGGAGGCAAAUACUUUUUAGAUCUUAAAUAUCAGAAAACCUUUGUGUUCUAUCUUGAUAGCACUGGGUAAUAGCAUUCACUGCCAUUCUUAUUCUUGGCCAUUUAUAUGUGACCUGUUUUUUUCCCUUUCUUCAAACUUUUACUGUCUUCCUGGUGUUCUAAAAUUUUACAACGGUGGUGAGUCUUUUCUCAUGUAUUGUGCUGGAUGCUCAGCAGGCCUUUGCAGUCUGGACGCUCAGGUUCUUCAGGGCCAGAAAAUGUUCCUUUAAUACUUCUCUUGACAUUUUUCUAUUCUGGACCCUAUUGGUAAGAUGGUGGGCCUCCUGGAUUGACCUCCUAGUUUUCUCUUUUCUCUCCAAUUUUUAAAAAAUAUUGAGAUAAUUCCUUAACUUUAUUUUCCAAAUCUUUUACAAACAUAUAUAUAUAAUAUAAAAAAUAUAUAUUUAUAUAUAUAAUUUAUAAUCUCUAUAUAGAUUUACAAAUAUAUAUGUAAUUUUAGCUAUCAUUUAAAUUAAGAACCCUUUCUUAUCCUAAUAAUAACCUCUGCUUAUUUUUUCUUAAUAGCAUCCCCACCUUGUUUUAAGGAUAGUUUCUCUUAUCUCUCUGAACUCAUCAAAUGUAGCUUCAUUGAAGUUUCCUUCUUUUUAGUGUGUUGCCUCUGUUUCUUUUGAGUUUCCUUUCUUGUUUUGAUGUCUCUUUUAUGUUAGAGUCUUUCUUCAAAUGUCAAGUAAUCCUUGGCUUUCUCUUCAUAUUUGAAAAGUUCGGUUAAAUAAAACACUGCUUGGAAGCUCUGUGUGCUUGGACGUGGCCUUGUCAACUGUAAAGUGCGCUGGAGAAUAACUGGGUGGAGAGCUGGCUUUUUCACUGGGAGACUCCUAAAUGCCAGGACCUACCGAUUUUUCUCUAGGCACACCAGUUGCAGGUCCUUCCAGUCAUAGCAUGUGGGAUGCCGCCUCAACGUGGCCUGACGAGUGGUGCCAUGCCUGCACCCAGGAUCUGAACCAGCGAAACCCUGGGCCGCUGCAGUGGAGUGCAUGAACUUAACCACUCAGCCACAGAGCUGGCCCUAGAAGCUGUCUGAUCUUAAGCAAGCCCUUAACACUCUAAGCUUCAAUUUUCUUGCCUGCCCAGUUUUGCUGGGAACAGGAAAAAAACCUAAAACAACCAACUCACUCUCUCUCUCCUUCUCUAUUUCAAAUAAUAUGAAAAUUCACUUCACAGGGAUUAAAUGAACUCAGAAAUCAUCCAGUUAGAUGGAUUAAAUGAAGGCAUGAAUAUGAAGACAUUUUGCUGAGUGUAAAAAUGCAUUACAGAUAUAAGGGACUAAAUGUAAACGAUUGCUCACCUUACUCAGGUCCUAAUGUUCUACAUAUACAGCCAUCAGUAAUUGUUGUGAUUGGUUCAUUUAUUUAUUUUUGGUGAGGAAGAUUGGCCCUGAGAUAACAUCUGUUGCCAAUCUUCCUCUCCUUUUUUUUUCCUCCCCAAAGCCCCAGCACAUAGUUGUGUCUUCUAGUUGUAGGUCAUUCUAGUUCCUCUAUGUGGGACACUGCCACACAUGGCUUGGUGAACAGUGCAUGGGUCCAAGCCCAGGAUCCGAACCGGUGAACGCCAAGCAGUCGAAGUGGAGUACGCAAACUUAACUGCUUGGCCACGGGGCCAGACCCUGUUGUUAUGUUCUUUAAAGUCCCUGUUAUAUGCCAAACUCUCAGAACAACUGUCUUCUUAUCCAGUAUACUUCUGAGUAAUGACUUUAAUUAUUCUUUUUAAUAAAACUGUUACGUUCACUGUAAUCAAUCCAAGUGGUAUUGGUUACCAAAGUAAAAACUGAAAGUUCCCUUUCACCUCAAACCCCACAAAUGUAAUCCCCAGACAUAAGCAGUUAGCAUUAACUUUCUAUUUUUAGUUACUACUACUACUAAUAGUUAACAUAAUAAUAGUUUAGUACUUGGCUGUGGGUCUGAUGAUGUUUUAAACGCUUUAUGUAUUAACACAUUUUGCUGCUCACAAUAACCCUCUGGCUCAAGUAUUACUGCUAUCCUUGUUUUAUAUAUGAGCAAACUGAGGCACAGAGAUGGAAAGCUACUUGCCCAGUGUCACACAGCUAGACAUAGGCAUUUGAGCUCAGGUAGUCUGGCUCCAAAGUUCAUGCUGUUAGUCUAUAAACUACAUAUCUCAGACACCUUUCUAUGUGAGUAUACAGAGCUCUCCUGCAUAGCUUUAGUACCUAGGGAACAUUUUAUUCUAUGAUGUAUAUUUAUCAGCUCCCAUUGAUGAGAAUUUUAAUCGCUUCCAGAUUUUUCGUUUUUAAACAUAAACUGUAAAAAAUUAAAAAUUAAGCUGCCAUCGACAACCUAGUGCUUUUGUGUGAGUCUGUCUAAGGCAUAAAUUUCUAGAAGUGGAGAGCUGAAACAAAGGAUGUGUACACUAAACUUCUUGAGUGAUACCACCGAAUUGCCUCCCAUAAUGAAUAGUCAUUUUCAUCUGGAGUCUAUAAACCACCAGAAUCACCGAGAAAAUUAUUUUUAUGUGCCUCUGUCUUUUUCUCUGUUUUUAAAAUCUGAUUGCUCUGUUGUUUGACGAGGAAUUCGACCACAUGGUAAGCACAACGUUUUGGGAAAGCUCCUCAUAUUCCUGUGAUGUCUCUGCCCCUGGGCAUGGGGUGAGCAGGCAUCUGGUGAUCUCUCUGCUUGUGCUGCCUGGUACCCGGAGGCUCCGGGAGAAUUGCUGUGAGGCUGUUCACCUUGGCUCAGCCUGAGAGCUACUCUGACAGAUUUAUUGGCUCGUCAACAUUUAUCUGAGCAGAACCUCUAAACCAAUAUACGCUUUCACUCAUUUGCACUCCAGGGAGAAAGAGAGAGAUGAGAACUGUGAGGUGUGAAACUCCACAGAGAUGUAGCUCCGCCUUUCACCCCAUCCUUGCAAACUUCUUAAGAAAUGGAAUUCAUUAUUGCGUUCCAAUUUCAGUCUCUCUUUUUCUUUUUUAAAACAUUGGUUGCCAAUCUUCUUUUCUUCUUCUUCUCCCCAAAGCCCCCCAGUACCUAGUUGUGUAUUUUAGUUGUGGGUCCUUCUAGGUGUUGCAUGUGGGACACCGCCUCAGCAUGGCCUGAUGAGCAGUGCCAUGUCUGCGCCCAGGAUCCAAACCAGCGAAACCCUGGGCAGCUGAAGUGGAGGGCGCGAACUUAACCACUUGGCCACGGGCCAGCCCCAGGUCUCUCUUUUUUUAACCAGGGUUUUUCUCAGUCCAUUGGUAUGUGAAGAAUACAUUGAUGAAAGGAAAUUAACAAGAUCACUCAAUCAACUACUACUUCACUUAUUUAUUGUUUGUUUUGUAAGGGAAAAUAUGAAUAAGAUACGGAAACUGCCUCCAAGAAACUUGCAAUCUUCUUCAGCUUUGUAGGAAUGGAGGAUGGAGAAAAUGUCUUGAAUUUAAAUGGGAGAGAAUUUAGAGCAGUAAGGAAGAACACAUAAGGAAAAUCAGUACUCAUAUUCUCCCUAUUUUCUUCAUGAGAAAAUAAAGCUUAGAGAGGUAAACGACUUAGCAUAGGCUACUCAGAAAGUGGCGAUGUCACAGUUCAAACUCUGGUUCCAGUUUCAAAGGUCGUGUAUUCUCUAUUGUACCUGUUGGUGGUGUCGAAACCUGACUGAUGCAGGUUUCUCGUCCCAUCUACUUAGCCUAUUGACACCCUUCUACGUACAGGCACAUAGAAAUGCUGGAUAAAAUAUAACAAAACUAUUUUAUAUACAUAACCGAGGAAGAAAGUGAGAGAGAGGGAGGGAGAGAGAGAGAGAGAAAAAGUUCCUAUGUGUCAAAACUAAAGAAGAACCUCAUAACCAAUGUGGUAAGUUCAUGAGCUGAUGUCAGAACAGAACAGAGGACAACAGACAUGGCUAUAGGGCCUAACAGCUGGGAGCUGGGAUUUUUAACACGUCUGGGAAUAAAAGAAUUGCUCUUGGGCCUGUGAAAGGUGAAAGGUUGGAACUGAAAUUCAUGCAUAAAGCUGGGACUGAGGAAGAGCUGCUCCCACCACGUAAGGGAACUAUAAAACAUCGUUCACAUCCUACGAAAGCAACUGGCAAUAUUCUUACCGAUUAGAUAUCUGGAUGGGACAAGCUCCCCCACAAUAAAUGGGAAUGUAAAAAUCUGUGUUAAGCAUAGGUAUAGAAUCCAAAUUUUACACUAUUUCCAUAGAACAGGAAUCCUAAAUGGCGAUAUUAAUGUAGAUACUGUAAAUAUUUCAGACCUGUGAAACUCUUGGCAUUUCCGGAAGAAUCAAAAGUAAGACCUCUCCGAAAGGUGACACCCACAUCUUAAAGUGUGCAGGAUUCCACAGGGAAAACAUAUCCUAGCUGAAAAUAUGCUCACAAUUAAAAGUACAAAUUAAACAAGGAAGUGGUCCACAAUCUGGGAGAGUCAGCAGAUACUGUAGGAGGAGUAGCAUGACAAGACCCCGAGAGAAUAAAAUAGUCUAAAGCUGUCUGUAAAUUAAGUAUAUUUACAGUCAUGAAAGAGAGAAAGGGAGAAAUAAAAACUUUUAUGAAAGAACAGGGCACUAAAGAAGAACAGGCACAUAUGAAAAACAACCUAAUAGAACAAUUCACAGCAAAAAGCCAGAAACAAAAUUAAACACCACAGCCAAUUUUAAGAGCAGAUUGGCAGUUAAAGAGAGAAUUGAUGACAUGAAAGAUACAUCUGAGGAAAUUACCUGGAGCACUGGAGAGAGAGAGAGAGAGAGAGGUGUGAAAGCCAAGGAGAAUGAAUAAAAGCCAUGAAACUUCAGAAGACAAAUCUGGCUGAUCAUCAGAAUCACCUGAGCAGCAUAUUAAAAUACAACAUGAUGGUUUUACCCCAGAUGUUCUGGAUGGUGUUCAGGGAUAUGCAUUUAAAGAAAGCUUCUGGUUCAUCAGUCUCUAGGGAGUCCAUGCUAAAUGGUGCCAGAAGAUGAUCCCAAGAGAAGGUGGCAAAGGAGUUAGUACGAACACCUGUAACCUCACAGUACCAUUUCCAUUUGUCUUCUCCAACAUCUGUGAUUAACAUCAGAUGACACAUCAUCCUGCCUUCUACUCCAGAAUCCUGGUGGGUUUGAUGAGAAGAAUGCAUGGCCAACGGUUGAGAGUAUUUGGCAAGGCAGGAUUCCUGUCUUACUUCAUAUUUCAUACUAAAUACAAAAAGACACCAUAACUCACCAGUACCAGAAAUUCAGUCUACUUGGUUUAUAUGGACAUCUGUUCUCAGAUUACUGGUGGUUUAUCUAACUGCUAUAAUAAAGGUUAAUUCUACAUUAAGGUGGUACUGAGUAUAAUUAGAAUUUUUAUAAUAGCCAUACUUUUUGAACUAGUAGCACCACUUCUAGCAAUUUACCUAUAUACCUCAAAUACAAAAAACCUUUAUACUCAAAGAUGUUCAUUCCUGCGUUUCAUACAUAUGGGUAAAAACUUGGAAGUCUCCAGAAGGGACGGAGGGCAGUGAGAUUUUGGCACAUUGUUCCAGACACAUGUAGUAAUGUCUCUGACUUUUUGGCUUGAACUCCUUACACAUAUACUUUGCUUUUCCUCUUUCGAUAGAGAAUGCUUAGAUAAAUAACGGCAUAUCCACGUGACAGAAUCAUGCCAGUAUAAAAAUUGUUUUGAACAGGCAGUUCAAAAAAGAAUAAAAAUGUACCAUAAACACAAAUAUUUAACCUCAUAAGUAAUAAAGGGAUAAUAAAAUUCCAUUUUCUACAAAUUUUAACCAAUAUUUUUAAAAAUUGAUAAUGCCUCGUGUUGGUGAAAUUGUGGAGAAAUGGGCACCACUUUGCUGUUGGCAGUAUAUGCUGGUACAUAAAUUCUGGAUAGAAAUUUGGUGAUACGUAGCCAAAGUCUUAAAAAUUCACGUAGAUUUUGUUGUUGGUCAUCAAUUUCAUGUAAAGAAUAUAUACUUUUAAAAACGUAAAGAAUGCUACACUUGUUCAAUUUAUGAAAAUUUGGGAAUUUAAGUGUCCCAAAAUAGGAAUUAUUUAAAUAAAUUUUGGUGCUAUACUAAUGGAAUACAGUUAGGAAAGAUAUUCGUAAUACAUAGGUAAUCAUUUAAAAAUUGCAAAAUG